Non-coding RNA from Triticum aestivum (bread wheat), 125 nucleotides. The record is from Rfam. Lineage: Eukaryota; Viridiplantae; Streptophyta; Magnoliopsida; Poales; Poaceae.
GUAGUACUCCCUCUGUCCGGAAAUACUUAUCAUUGAAAUAGAUGUAUCUAGAUGUAUUUUAGUUUUAGAUACAUCCAUUUUCGUCCAUUUUGAUGACAAGUAAUUCCGGACAGAGGGAGUAGCCU